Long non-coding RNA from Stegostoma tigrinum, 424 nucleotides. RefSeq lists it as uncharacterized. The record is from RefSeq and is a predicted model, not a curated record. The transcript has 3 exons. Lineage: Eukaryota; Metazoa; Chordata; Chondrichthyes; Orectolobiformes; Stegostomatidae.
GUGUCUGCAGUAGAACGUGUUUGCUAUCUUCAAAGAGAAUUAGUAUUCAAUAUUGGUUGGAUCAGCUUCCAAUGGAUCAAUACAGCAUGAUGGAUACAUCAAAGGCCUUUGCCACAAAAACAGCCAUAGUGUCGAUGAACUGUGCAUUGUUAACCGCACUAUUCCAGGCCCGGCAUCAACAGCCUAAAUUCCAACACUUCAAAACUACUUUUAUUGGCUCCAAUGUGCUUUAGGAAAUCCUGACUGUGAAAGACACUAUAUAAAUGUGGAGCUCAGAUUUGAAGAGGACACCAGCUAUUCUGAAAUUUAAAUAAAUCCAUAACCAAGCCUGUUAUUUCUGCUCAUGCAUAUUCAUCACAUUAUUAAAAUAUAUCAUUUCUUUUCCCUCUGGUGCCCUUCUGAUCCUGUGGAGUUGACAGCAGCU